This 377-nucleotide ribosomal RNA is filed under the name uncultured bacterium. Its description in RNAcentral is "bacterial SSU rRNA". It matches the Rfam family "Bacterial small subunit ribosomal RNA", at positions 30 to 407 of the family's 1533-position model. The record is from RNAcentral.
AUUGAACGCUGGCGGCAGGCCUAACACAUGCAAGUCGAGCGGAUGAGUGGAGCUUGCUCCAUGAUUCAGCGGCGGACGGGUGAGUAAUGCCUAGGAAUCUGCCCUGGUAGUGGGGGACAACGUUUCGAAAGGAACGCUAAUACCGCAUACGUCCUACGGGAGAAAGCAGGGGGACCUUCGGGCCUUGCGCUAUCAGAUGAGCCUAGGUCGGAUUAGCUAGUAGGUGAGGUAAUGGCUCACCUAGGCGACGAUCCGUAACUGGUCUGAGAGGAUGAUCAGUCACACUGGAACUGAGACACGGUCCAGACUCCUACGGGAGCAGCAGUGGGGAAUAUUGGACAAUGGCGAAAGCCUGAUCCAGCCAUGCCGCGUGUGUG